RNAcentral lists this ribosomal RNA (484 nucleotides) under uncultured bacterium. RNAcentral's name for it is "partial 16S ribosomal RNA". It matches the Rfam family "Bacterial small subunit ribosomal RNA", at positions 30 to 507 of the family's 1533-position model. The record is from RNAcentral.
AUUGAACGCUGGCGGCAGGCCUAACACAUGCAAGUCGAGCGGAUGAAGGGAGCUUGCUCCUGGAUUCAGCGGCGGACGGGUGAGUAAUGCCUAGGAAUCUGCCUGGUAGUGGGGGAUAACGUCCGGAAACGGGCGCUAAUACCGCAUACGUCCUGAGGGAGAAAGUGGGGGAUCUUCGGACCUCACGCUAUCAGAUGAGCCUAGGUCGGAUUAGCUAGUUGGUGGGGUAAAGGCCUACCAAGGCGACGAUCCGUAACUGGUCUGAGAGGAUGAUCAGUCACACUGGAAGUGAGACACGGUCCAGACUCCGACGGGAGGCAGCAGUGGGGAAUAUUGGACAAUGGGCGCAAGCCUGAUCCAGCCAUGCCGCGUGUGGGAAGAAGGUCUUCGGAUUGUACAGCGCUUUAAUUUGGGAAGAAGGACAGUAAGCUAAUACCUUGCUGUUUUGACGUUACCAACAGAAUAAGCACCGGCUAACUUCGUG